AAGUCGGAAUCGCUAGUAAUCGUGGAUCAGAAUGCCACGGUGAAUACGUUCCCGGGCCUUGUACACACCGCCCGUCACACCAUGGGAGUGGGCUGCAAAAGAAGUAGGUAGUUUAACCUUCGGGGGGGCGCUUACCACUUUGUGGUUCAUGACUGGGGUGAAGUCGUAACAAGGUAGCGCUAGGGGAACCUGGCGCUGGAUCACCUCCUUAAACGAUGAU
Molecule: ribosomal RNA, 220 nt
Filed under: Vibrio parahaemolyticus
Lineage: Bacteria; Pseudomonadati; Pseudomonadota; Gammaproteobacteria; Vibrionales; Vibrionaceae
Description: partial 16S ribosomal RNA
Rfam family: Bacterial small subunit ribosomal RNA
Source: RNAcentral